RNAcentral lists this ribosomal RNA (452 nucleotides) under uncultured bacterium. RNAcentral describes it as "bacterial SSU rRNA". It matches the Rfam family "Bacterial small subunit ribosomal RNA", at positions 917 to 1382 of the family's 1533-position model. The record is from RNAcentral.
GGACCCACACAAGCAGUGGAUCAUGUGGUUUAAUUCGACAAUAAACGAGGAAUCUUACCCAGACUUGACAUCUAUAGAAUCUUUUGGAAACAUUAGAGUGCCCGUAAGGGAGCUAUAAGACAGGUGCUGCAUGGUUGUCGUCAGCUCGUGCCUUGAGGUGUUCGGUUAAGUCCGUUAACGAGCGAAACCUAUGUCGUUAGUUAUUAUGUCUAACGAGACUGCCCUUGUUAAUAGGGAGGAAGGUGUAGAUGAUGUCAAAUCAGCAUGGCUUUUACGUCUGGGGCCACACACAUGAUACAAUGGUGCGUACAAUGAGUAGCAAUAUGGUAACAUGGAGCUAAUCUUUAAAGCGCAUCUCAGUCCGGAUUGAGGUCUGAAACUCGACCUCAUGAAGUUGGAAUUGCUAGUAAUCGUGAAUCAGAUAUGUCACGGUGAAUAUGUUCCUGGGUCUU